AGCAUGGGGAAAGAGCAGGAAGGAAGAAGAUCUGAUUUGCUUGUCUGAUGCACUUUGAAAUCCUCAAGGCACAUGGCGGAAGACACUUGUUUACGGGCAUCAUUUUCCAAAUACACUUUGCUUUUGAGCUGAUGGAUAUACAAAUCAGGCUAUGGCAGCACACACAUCUCAAAUGAGGGAGGCCUAUUCCGAUCGAAACAUCUGGUUUCAUUACACCAGACUCCAAAGACUGGCUCCUAAGCAACGCUGCAGAGAUUUUUGUGUAACUUAACCACCUUCCAUUGGUGUGCUGGGACUCUGAAAACUCUCCAAAGAGCAAUACAGUAGAUUCCUGGAGGACUGGGAAUGACUAGUGUGCCAGAGUGAGAACUGAAGUUAUUGUCAGAGAAUUCCAAAGGCCAAUUUCAAGCAAGAUAGAUACAGAGCUGCCUUGUCACUAAUGGCAGUGGAAAAUUGUCGUCUUCACUUGUCUCAUCAAACUCAUGGCUUCACAUGGAAAAAU
Long non-coding RNA from Grus americana (Whooping crane), 502 nucleotides. RefSeq lists it as uncharacterized. Lineage: Eukaryota; Metazoa; Chordata; Aves; Gruiformes; Gruidae. The transcript is spliced from 4 exons. The record is from RefSeq and is a predicted model, not a curated record.